RNAcentral lists this ribosomal RNA (1017 nucleotides) under uncultured bacterium. Its description in RNAcentral is "bacterial SSU rRNA". It matches the Rfam family "Bacterial small subunit ribosomal RNA", at positions 355 to 1375 of the family's 1533-position model. The record is from RNAcentral.
UGAGGAAUAUUGGUCAAUGGACGAGAGUCUGAACCAGCCAAGUAGCGUGAAGGAUGACUGCCCUAUGGGUUGUAAACUUCUUUUAUACGGGAAUAAAGUGAGGCACGUGUGCCUUUUUGUAUGUACCGUAUGAAUAAGGAUCGGCUAACUCCGUGCCAGCAGCCGCGGUAAUACGGAGGAUCCGAGCGUUAUCCGGAUUUAUUGGGUUUAAAGGGAGCGUAGGCGGACGCUUAAGUCAGUUGUGAAAGUUUGCGGCUCAACCGUAAAAUUGCAGUUGAUACUGGGUGUCUUGAGUACAGUAGAGGCAGGCGGAAUUCCCGGUGUAGCGGUGGAAUGCGUAGAUAUCGGGAGGAACACCAGUGGCGAAGGCGGCCUACUGGGCACCAACUGACGCUGAGGCUCGAAAGUGUGGGUAGCAAACAGGAUUAGAUACCCUGGUAGUCCACACGGUAAACGAUGAAUACUCGCUGUUUGCGAUAUACAGCAAGCGGCCAAGCGAAAGCGUUAAGUAUUCCACCUGGGGAGUACGCCGGCAACGGUGAAACUCAAAGGAAUUGACGGGGGCCCGCACAAGCGGAGGAACAUGUGGUUUAAUUCGAUGAUACGCGAGGAACCUUACCCGGGCUUAAAUUGCAGAUGAAUUACGGUGAAAGCCGUAAGCCGCAAGGCAUCUGUGAAGGUGCUGCAUGGUUGUCGUCAGCUCGUGCCGUGAGGUGUCGGCUUAAGUGCCAUAACGAGCGCAACCCUUGUUGUCAGUUACUAACAGGUUCUGCUGAGGACUCUGACAAGACUGCCAUCGUAAGAUGUGAGGAAGGUGGGGAUGACGUCAAAUCAGCACGGCCCUUACGUCCGGGGCUACACACGUGUUACAAUGGGGGGUACAGAGGGCCGCUACCACGCGAGUGGAUGCCAAUCCCCAAAACCUCUCUCAGUUCGGACUGGAGUCUGCAACCCGACUCCACGAAGCUGGAUUCGCUAGUAAUCGCGCAUCAGCCACGGCGCGGUGAAUACGUUCCC